AUUGAACGCUGGCGGCAUGCCUUACACAUGCAAGUCGAACGGCAGCACGGGAGCAAUCCUGGUGGCGAGUGGCGAACGGGUGAGUAAUAUAUCGGAACGUGCCCAGUAGUGGGGGAUAGCCCGGCGAAAGCCGGAUUAAUACCGCAUACGACCUACGGGUGAAAGCGGGGGAUCGCAAGACCUCGCGCUAUUGGAGCGGCCGAUAUCAGAUUAGCUAGUUGGUGGGGUAAAGGCCUACCAAGGCGACGAUCUGUAGCUGGUCUGAGAGGACGACCAGCGACACUGGGACGGGGACACGGCCCAGACUCCUACGGGAGGCAGCAGUGGGGAACUUUGGACAAUGGGCGCAAGCCUGAUCCAGCCAUGCCGCGUGCGGGAAGAAGGCCUUCGGGUUGUAAACCGCUUUUGUCAGGGAAGAAACGGUCCGCGCUAAUACCGUGGGCUAAUGACGGUACCUGAAGAAUAAGCACCGGCUAACUACGUGCCAGCCGCCGCGGUAA
RNAcentral lists this ribosomal RNA (500 nucleotides) under uncultured bacterium. RNAcentral describes it as "partial 16S ribosomal RNA". It matches the Rfam family "Bacterial small subunit ribosomal RNA", at positions 29 to 523 of the family's 1533-position model. The record is from RNAcentral.